AGUCCCAAUCGCCAGUCCCACCUUCGACGGCUCCCUCCCNCAAGGGGUUAGGCCACCGGCUUCGGGUGUUACCAACUUUCGUGACUUGACGGGCGGUGUGUACAAGGCCCGGGAACGUAUUCACCGCAGCGUUGCUGAUCUGCGAUUACUAGCGACUCCGACUUCAUGGGGUCGAGUUGCAGACCCCAAUCCGAACUGAGACCGGCUUUUUGGGAUUAGCUCCACCUCACAGUAUCGCAACCCUUUGUACCGGCCAUUGUAGCAUGCGUGAAGCCCAAGACAUAAGGGGCAUGAUGAUUUGACGUCGUCCCCACCUUCCUCCGAGUUGACCCCGGCAGUCUCCCAUGAGUCCCCGCCAUUACGCGCUGGCAACAUGGAACGAGGGUUGCGCUCGUUGCGGGACUUAACCCAACAUNUNACGACACGAGCUGACGACAACCAUGCACCACCUGUGAACCGGCCCCAAAAGGAGAAACCACAUCUCUGCGGCGGNCCGGUCCAUGUCAAGCCUUUGGUAANGGUCUUCGCGUUGCAUCGAAUUAAUUCCGCAUGCUUCCGCCGCUUGUGCGGGG
RNAcentral lists this ribosomal RNA (572 nucleotides) under uncultured soil bacterium. Its description in RNAcentral is "partial 16S ribosomal RNA". The record is from RNAcentral.